ACAGACGAAAGCCUGACGGAGCAACGCCGCGUGAGUGAUGAAGGUUUUCGGAUCGUAAAGCUCUGUUGCCAGGGAAGAACGUCCGGUAGAGUAACUGCUACCGGAGUGACGGUACCUGAGAAGAAAGCCCCGGCUAACUACGUGCCAGCAGCCGCGGUAAUACGUAGGGGGCAAGCGUUGUCCGGAAUUAUUGGGCGUAAAGCGCGCGCAGGCGGCUAUUUAAGUCUGGUGUUUAAACCUUGGGCUCAACCUGAGGUCGCACUGGAAACUGGGUGGCUUGAGUACAGAAGAGGAAAGUGGAAUUCCACGUGUAGCGGUGAAAUGCGUAGAUAUGUGGAGGAACACCAGUGGCGAAGGCGACUUUCUGGGCUGUAACUGACGCUGAGGCGCGAAAGCGUGGGGAGCAAACAGGAUUAGAUACCCUGGUAGUCCACGCCGUAAACGAUGAGUGCUGGGUGUUAGGGGUUUCGAUACCCUUGGUGCCGAAGUUAACACAGUAAGCACUCCGCCUGGGGAGUACG
RNAcentral lists this ribosomal RNA (521 nucleotides) under uncultured bacterium. Its description in RNAcentral is "bacterial SSU rRNA". It matches the Rfam family "Bacterial small subunit ribosomal RNA", at positions 371 to 884 of the family's 1533-position model. The record is from RNAcentral.